RNAcentral lists this ribosomal RNA (123 nucleotides) under uncultured bacterium. RNAcentral describes it as "partial 16S ribosomal RNA". It matches the Rfam family "Bacterial small subunit ribosomal RNA", at positions 1379 to 1500 of the family's 1533-position model. The record is from RNAcentral.
CGUUGUACACACCGCCCGUCACACCAUGAGAGUUGGGGAUACCCGAAGCCUGUGAGCUAACUUUAUAAGGAGCAGCAGUCGAAGGUAGAAUCAAUGAUUGGGGUGAAGUCGUAACAAGGUAAC